UACGGGUGAUUCCCGCGAUCGCGUGU
RNAcentral lists this non-coding RNA (26 nucleotides) under Homo sapiens (human). The record is from RNAcentral. Lineage: Eukaryota; Metazoa; Chordata; Mammalia; Primates; Hominidae.